AAGGAAAGAAAAAAGUUGAUACUGCAUCUUCUCAACCACAUAAGAAACAGAAACAACUGAAGUCAGUACCUUCAUCUUCAAACAUUCCUAGCAAUUCAUCCUUGAGGAAUACAACAAGCACUCCCAUUUUUGUUUCAAAAGCAUUGAAGAGAACGUUGUCUCCUAUUGCAAAAUAUCAGACAAAGAAAGUUGUGACUCAAAAGACUGUUCCUCAAAGGGCACUUCCUAAGCAGUCGUCUAUCCUAGAGAAAAUAAAAUCUAUUGUCAAGCCUUCAGCUAAACCCAAACCAUCCAAUGUUCCUACUGAUGUACCUUCCAACGGCAAGUCGGAUGAAGAAUUCAUUUUGGUUAAACAAUUUGUCAUUUUUCAGAAAUCG
This 377-nucleotide long non-coding RNA is filed under the name Capsicum annuum. RNAcentral describes it as "long non-coding RNA (CANN_LNC003731)". The record is from RNAcentral. Lineage: Eukaryota; Viridiplantae; Streptophyta; Magnoliopsida; Solanales; Solanaceae.